AUGCACGCUGGCGGCGUGCUUAACACCUGCCAGUCGAACGAAGCACUUUAUUUGAUUUCCUUCGGGACUGAUUAUUUUGUGACUGAGUGGCGGACGGGUGAGUAACGCGUGGGUAACCUGCCUUGUACAGGGGGAUAACAGUUGGAAACGGCUGCUAAUACCGCAUAAGCGCACGGCAUCGCAUGAUGCAGUGUGAAAAACUCCGGUGGUAUAAGAUGGACCCGCGUUGGAUUAGCUAGUUGGUGGGGUAACGGCCCACCAAGGCGACGAUCCAUAGCCGACCUGAGAGGGUGACCGGCCACAUUGGGACUGAGACACGGCCCAAACUCCUACGGGAGGCAGCAGUGGGGAAUAUUGCACAAUGGGCGAAAGCCUGAUGCAGCGACGCCGCGUGAGCGAAGAAGUAUUUCGGUAUGUAAAGCUCUAUCAGCAGGGAAGAUAAUGACGGUACCUGACUAAGAAGCACCGGCUAAAUACGU
RNAcentral lists this ribosomal RNA (479 nucleotides) under uncultured bacterium. RNAcentral's name for it is "partial 16S ribosomal RNA". It matches the Rfam family "Bacterial small subunit ribosomal RNA", at positions 29 to 506 of the family's 1533-position model. The record is from RNAcentral.